UACAGAGGUGGCAAGCGUUGUUCGGAAUCACUGGGCAUAAAGGGCGCGUAGGCGGCGAGGCAAGUCGGGUGUGAAAUCCCUCAGCUCAACUGAGGAACUGCGCCCGAAACUACCUUGCUAGAGUGCAGGAGAGGAGAGUGGAACUCCUAGUGGAGCGGUGAAAUGCGUAGAGAUUAGGAGGAACGCCGGUGGCGAAAGCGACUCUCUGGCCUGCUACUGACGCUGAGGCGCGAAAGCUAGGGGAGCAAAC
Molecule: ribosomal RNA, 250 nt
Filed under: uncultured bacterium
Lineage: Bacteria
Description: partial 16S ribosomal RNA
Rfam family: Bacterial small subunit ribosomal RNA
Source: RNAcentral